This 1461-nucleotide long non-coding RNA is filed under the name Capsicum annuum. Its description in RNAcentral is "long non-coding RNA (CANN_LNC022360)". Lineage: Eukaryota; Viridiplantae; Streptophyta; Magnoliopsida; Solanales; Solanaceae. The record is from RNAcentral.
AUUUUUCUAGUUUUCCAUAGAAUUACACAUACCGAUACUUACCGAUACGCCACUCAUCCUCAUCAUAGAUUGAAUUCUCACACACACAAGCUGGACGCCAUAAACACACACUCCACCAUCGAUAAUUCACAGUGAACAUAGAAGUUUUAUUCUCUAUUCAUCACCAUAGACUACACAUCACUCACACAGAAAGUUCUUUAACAUACACACACUGAGAUAUGAUUAAGAGAUAGAUGGAAUCGGGGGGAACAGGGAGAGGUUCAUGAAAGAGAGAGAUUGUGAGAUAGAUAGAAAGAGGAGAGAUCGAGAGAGAGUAAAUCGGGUCGAUUGGAAUGUUUUUUUGGUGAGUUUUUGCUAGAAUCAGAAUAUCCCCACGGAAUUGGGUCGUUCACAGCCCCAAAUUACCAUUUCUCUGUGUUUUUCUAAUUUUUCUCUAACAAAAUAUAGCCGAGGAGACCCAUUUGAUUGAUUUUCUGAUCUGUUGGAGCUCCGAACAGAUACAAACGACAACCCUGCUUCGAUUCUAGCGGUUUCAUUGAUGAUUAGUUUGAAAUCUGAGAUUUGGGGGUUGGUAUUAAGGUUUUCCACUAGUUUUGAAUCUAUUUGGGUCGUUAUUUCUCGAUAUUGAGUGGAUUUUGUUCAUUGUUGAAUUUCAAUUUAAGGUUUCAUUUGCGGUUUCAGUCGAAAGGAGCAACUUUAUUGAAAGCAAAUAUUUGAGGUCCAAUUUUUACCUCUUUCUUUAUAAUUUCAUGAUAUUUAUGUGAAUGAUGGUGUGAAUUAUUGUUUGUUUUGAUUCGGUGUUUGAUUUUCAUGAUUAUGGAUUGCAUGAUGAAAUUAUAUCUUGUUUGAGAAUUAAAAUUGGUUGUAUGGGACGAAAAUUAAAAAUUGAUUAAAAGAAAGUGUUAGUUGUUUUGAUUCAUUGAUGUUGUUCAAUGUGGUAAUACCAAGAUAGGUCGAGAUGGGUAUGCAAAUGGUAGGCUCGGGUAGGCAAAUUUAGAACUUUUGGAUUGCUGAGUGUUUGGAAUGUUUGUUGAAUGAUUCAGUUUUUCUCACAUUUGGGAAAUGUAUUCAUUUAGCCAGGGAAUGCCCCGAGGUCAUUUGUAUUUAUUCACUGGAGAAUGCCCCAAAGAAUCUUGUAUGCGAAGGAUGUUCGUGAUCAAGGCCCGAGGCAUCGGAUAGAGCAUAGUGUAGGAUUAGUAAAGGUUAGUGUAGGUUUAUUUUAGUACAUUUUAUUUCGAACUGUAAUAAUUAGACUAGACAUUAUUUUUCAAACUUGUUUUGUUUUGGUGUGAUUGUUUGUUUUGUAUGUUUGUUUCGUUUAUACAUCUUAUAGUUUUUAAUAGCCGAUAUACUCUAUGAAGAUACCGUGGUCGAACCACAGGAUCGAGGGUUGCCUAACACCUUUUUCUCGGUCAACAGAAUUCCUUAGCAGGUAUCUCUAUUCGCGGAUCAGUUUUAAAG